AGUAGGGGUGAGCAUGGUCCGGGUUGGUCCGGGCCACCCCCUAAUCCUAGGACCAACCCGUACAGUGUCGGUCCUCAAUUUUUAGGACCAAGGACCGACCCUAUUGAGCCUGGGACCAAGGACCGGACCGACCCAAUGGGUUCGGUCCGGUUCCAGGGUCAACCCGGGACCGAUCGAUAAUUUUUUUCGUCUUAUUUUUUAUACUUCCUAAAAAAGCAAACCUACAAAUUCAAAUUACGCAUCCAUGAUCCAUCAACAAUACGAUAUUGUGCAACUAAAUUAUAAAAUACCAAUACAUAUUUAGCAAAUUUAAGAUGACACAAUAAUAGAAAUUUCAUAUCCGCUAACCGCUCAUCGAGAUAUGGGACAAGAUGGAAAGUUCUUGUAAUCAUCUAUCUUUAAUAUUUAUAACACCAUAUGCAAAAGCGUUUUCCUGAUCAUGUAGAGUUUACUCAACCAAAAAAUGAGCUUCGCACCACUUGACUAGCAUUUGAUCAUGUAGAGUCUACUCAACCAAAAAAUGAGCUUCACACCACUUGACUAACAAAUCACCGUAGCAACUGCAGUACUACUCUACUCUUCAAAAACUUCUACCAUUUAACACAAAUUGAAAAGCAAUUAAAUCAUAAAAAGUUUAAAAUACUUAAUAUAAACCAUGAAUAUAUAACUUCACAUCUUGUUAAUUCACUUGAACUUCUAAACACUUGAAAACAAAACAAACGACACAUAAUUAAUACUUAACAAAAGUUUUAAAUUGAAAUUACUAUUAGUGCUA
RNAcentral lists this long non-coding RNA (775 nucleotides) under Eucalyptus grandis. RNAcentral describes it as "long non-coding RNA (EGRA_LNC005573)". The record is from RNAcentral. Lineage: Eukaryota; Viridiplantae; Streptophyta; Magnoliopsida; Myrtales; Myrtaceae.